Molecule: ribosomal RNA, 1250 nt
Filed under: metagenome
Description: bacterial LSU rRNA
Rfam family: Bacterial large subunit ribosomal RNA
Source: RNAcentral
UACACGACCGUACCGCAAACCGACACUGGUGCGCGAGAUGAGUAUUCUAAGGCGCUUGAGAGAACUCAGGAGAAGGAACUCGGCAAAUUGACACCGUAACUUCGGAAGAAGGUGUGCCUUUAGUAGGUGAACCAUUUACUUGGGGAGCCCAAUGAGGCUGCAAAAAAUCGGUGGCUGCAACUGUUUAUUAAAAACACAGCACUCUGCUAAGACGAAAGUCGACGUAUAGGGUGUGACGCCUGCCCGGUGCUGGAAGAUUAAAUGAUGGGGUGCAAGCUCUUGAUUGAAGUCCCAGUAAACGGCGGCCGUAACUAUAACGGUCCUAAGGUAGCGAAAUUCCUUGUCGGGUAAGUUCCGACCUGCACGAAUGGCGUAAUGAUGGCCACACUGUCUCCUCCUGAGACUCAGCGAAGUUGAAAUGUUUGUGAUGAUGCAAUCUCCCCGCGGAAAGACGGAAAGACCCCAUGAACCUUUACUGUAGCUUUGUAUUGGACUUUGAACAGAUCUGUGUAGGAUAGGUGGGAGGCUUUGAAGUGUGGUCGCUAGAUCGCAUGGAGCCAACGUUGAAAUACCACCCUGGUGUGUUUGAGGUUCUAACCUAGGUCCAUUAUCUGGAUCGGGGACAGUGCAUGGUAGGCAGUUUGACUGGGGCGGUCUCCUCCCAAAGUGUAACGGAGGAGUUCGAAGGUACGCUAGGUACGGUCGGACAUCGUGCUAAUAGUGCAAUGGCAUAAGCGUGCUUAACUGCGAGACUGACAAGUCGAGCAGAUGCGAAAGCAGGACAUAGUGAUCCGGUGGUUCUGUAUGGAAGGGCCAUCGCUCAACGGAUAAAAGGUACUCUGGGGAUAACAGGCUGAUACCGCCCAAGAGUUCAUAUCGACGGCGGUGUUUGGCACCUCGAUGUCGGCUCAUCUCAUCCUGGGGCUGUAGCCGGUCCCAAGGGUAUGGCUGUUCGCCAUUUAAAGAGGUACGUGAGCUGGGUUUAAAACGUCGUGAGACAUUUUGGUCCCUAUCUUCCGUGGGCGCUGCAGAUUUGAGGAAGCCUGCUCCUAGUACGAGAGGACCGGAGUGGACGAACCUCUGGUGUAUCGGUUGUCACGCCAGUGGCAUUGCCGAGUAGCUAAGUUCGGAAGAGAUAACCGCUGAAAGCAUCUAAGCGGGAAACUCGUUUCAAGAUUAGAUCUGCCGGGGCCUUGAGCCCCCUAAAGAGUCGUUCAAGACCAGGACGUUGAUAGGUCAGGUGUGGAAGC